UGGGGAAUUUCUGGCAAUGGGGGAAACCCUGACCAAGCAACGCCGCGUGGAUGAUGAAGUAUCUCGGUACGUAAAAUCCUUUCGACAGGGAAGAAACCCGCAAGGGUUGACGGUACCUGUAGAAGAAGCCCCGGCUAACUCCGUGCCAGCAGCCGCGGUAAUACGGGGGGGGCAAGCGUUGUUCGGAAUUACUGGGCGUAAAGGGCGCGUAGGCGGUUUGCUAAGUUGGACGUGAAAACUCUGGGCUUAACCCAGAGCCUGCAUCCAAAACUGGCAAGCUGGAGUUUUGGAGGGGGAAGCGGAAUUCCUGGUGUAGCAGUGAAAUGCGUAGAUAUCAGGAGGAACACCGGUGGCGAAGGCGGCUUCCUGGACAAAAACUGACGCUGAGGCGCGAAAGCUAGGGGAGCAAACAG
This 413-nucleotide ribosomal RNA is filed under the name uncultured bacterium. Its description in RNAcentral is "bacterial SSU rRNA". It matches the Rfam family "Bacterial small subunit ribosomal RNA", at positions 355 to 775 of the family's 1533-position model. The record is from RNAcentral.